Molecule: ribosomal RNA, 253 nt
Filed under: uncultured bacterium
Lineage: Bacteria
Description: partial 16S ribosomal RNA
Rfam family: Bacterial small subunit ribosomal RNA
Source: RNAcentral
GACAGAGGGGGCAAGCGUUGCUCGGAAUUACUGGGCGUAAAGGGCGCGUAGGCGGGAUGGCAAGUCGGUCGUGAAAUCCCUCGGCUCAACUGAGGAUCGUCGAUCGAUACUGCCGUUCUUGAGGAUUGCAGAGGAGACUGGAAUUCCCGGUGUAGCGGUGAAAUGUGUAGAGAUCGGGAGGAACACUGGUGGCGAAGGCGGGUCUCUGGGCAAUUCCUGACGCUGAGGCGCGAAAGCGUGGGGAGCAAACGGG